UGGGGAAUUUUGGACAAUGGGCGAAAGCCUGAUCCAGCAAUGCCGCGUGUGUGAAGAAGGCCUUCGGGUUGUAAAGCACUUUUGUCCGGAAAGAAAUCCUUGGCUCUAAUACAGUCGGGGGAUGACGGUACCGGAAGAAUAAGCACCGGCUAACUACGUGCCAGCAGCCGCGGUAAUACGUAGGGUGCAAGCGUUAAUCGGAAUUACUGGGCGUAAAGCGUGCGCAGGCGGUUUGCUAAGACCGAUGUGAAAUCCCCGGGCUCAACCUGGGAACUGCAUUGGUGACUGGCAGGCUAGAGUAUGGCAGAGGGGGGUAGAAUUCCACGUGUAGCAGUGAAAUGCGUAGAGAUGUGGAGGAAUACCGAUGGCGAAGGCAGCCCCCCUGGGGCCAAUACUGACGCUCAUGCACGAAAAGCGUGGGGGAGCAAAACAGGAUUAGAUACCCUGGUAGUCCACGCCCUAAAACGAUGUCAACUAGUUGUUGGGGGAUUCAUUUUCCUUAGUAACGUAGCUAACGCGUGAAGUUGACCGCCUGGGGAGUACGGUCGCAAGAUUAAAACUCAAAUGAAUUGACGGGGGUCAUAGCUGUUUCCU
This 594-nucleotide ribosomal RNA is filed under the name uncultured bacterium. Its description in RNAcentral is "partial 16S ribosomal RNA". It matches the Rfam family "Bacterial small subunit ribosomal RNA", at positions 355 to 938 of the family's 1533-position model. The record is from RNAcentral.